AGUCCGGUAGUGUAGAAUAGUACUCAACGGUCAAGCAUUUAGGGCUUUGAACCCUGAGACCACGGUUCGAAAAUUUACGAGAAUGCUCGUAGAUAGAAACUCCGUGCCGGACUA
RNAcentral lists this transfer RNA (114 nucleotides) under Promethearchaeota archaeon. Its description in RNAcentral is "Candidatus Lokiarchaeota archaeon (permafrost metagenome) tRNA-Gln". The record is from RNAcentral. Lineage: Archaea; Promethearchaeati; Promethearchaeota.